Molecule: ribosomal RNA, 476 nt
Filed under: uncultured organism
Description: partial 16S ribosomal RNA
Rfam family: Bacterial small subunit ribosomal RNA
Source: RNAcentral
ACACUCCUGCGGGAGGCAGCAGUGGGGAAUUUUGGACAAUGGGCGAAAGCCUGAUCCAGCAAUGCCGCGUGAGUGAAGAAGGCCUUCGGGUUGUAAAGCUCUUUUGUCAGGGAAGAAACGGUGAAAGCUAAUAUCUUUUGCUAAUGACGGUACCUGAAGAAUAAGCACCGGCUAACUACGUGCCAGCAGCCGCGGUAAUACGUAGGGUGCAAGCGUUAAUCGGAAUUACUGGGCGUAAAGCGGGCGCAGGCGGUUUUGUAAGUCUGAUGUGAAAUCCCCGGGCUCAACAUGGGAAUUGCAUGGGAGAGUGCAAGGAUAGAAUCUGGCAGAGGGGGGUAGGAUUCCACGUGGAGCAGUGAAAUGCGUAGAUAUGUGGAGGAACACCGAUGGCGAAGGCAGCCCCCUGGGUCAAGAUUGACGCUCAUGCACGAAAGCGUGGGGAGCAAACAGGAUUAGAUACCCCAGUAGUCCCAUGA